AAGGAGGACAUAUUUUUUUACCGUAAGCACUAAUUUCUUCCUCACCUGGAAAAACUCAUGCCUGAUAAUCUGAGUAGUGGGCUAAAAUGAAAAUCAUUCCAUUGACACUGAAGAAGACAGGACCUGAAAGAGCCGAUUGACAUGAAGUUGUCCUGGCUUCCAUAGUUAAUGAUACAACUGACGUGGGGCCAAGAGUGACUGCACCCAGUGAAUGAAGAGCCAAUGGGACCAGACCUGGGGGAGAUGACCCAUUGCUACCCUGCAGAGUAUUGUAAUGAUGGAGAGUGGAACAAAAGAACCAUUGGAGGAAACUGGAAUGCAGGAAUGACAGUUGGAAACUGAACAAGGACUUCUGGAAAAUUCUCUGGAGGA
Molecule: long non-coding RNA, 372 nt
Filed under: Monodelphis domestica (gray short-tailed opossum)
Lineage: Eukaryota; Metazoa; Chordata; Mammalia; Didelphimorphia; Didelphidae
Description: lncRNA (ENSMODG00000043840.1)
Source: RNAcentral